This 206-nucleotide ribosomal RNA is filed under the name uncultured bacterium. RNAcentral describes it as "partial 16S ribosomal RNA". It matches the Rfam family "Bacterial small subunit ribosomal RNA", at positions 1295 to 1500 of the family's 1533-position model. The record is from RNAcentral.
GGAUCGCAGGCUGCAACCCGCCUGCGUGAAGUCGGAAUCGCUAGUAAUCGCGGAUCAGCAUGCCGCGGUGAAUACGUUCCCGGGCCUUGUACACACCGCCCGUCACACCAUGAGAGUCGGGAACACCCGAAGUCCGUAGCCUAACCGAAAGGAGGGCGCGGCCGAAGGUGGGUUCGAUAAUUGGGGUGAAGUCGUAACAAGGUAAC